This is a small nucleolar RNA of Tachyglossus aculeatus (Australian echidna), 132 nucleotides long. RefSeq annotates it as small nucleolar RNA SNORA56. Lineage: Eukaryota; Metazoa; Chordata; Mammalia; Monotremata; Tachyglossidae. The record is from RefSeq and is a predicted model, not a curated record. The transcript has a single exon.
AGGCAGACAGUUAUCCCUCUUUAGUCUGACCCAGUGGCUCUAGAGGGAGUCAGUCUGCAAAAUCAAUUGGGGGCCCUGUUUCUGUCCAGCAUCACGGUGCUUUGAUGAUGGUUGCAGACUUGCCGUACAUUC